Molecule: ribosomal RNA, 444 nt
Filed under: uncultured bacterium
Lineage: Bacteria
Description: bacterial SSU rRNA
Rfam family: Bacterial small subunit ribosomal RNA
Source: RNAcentral
CCAGACUCCUACGGGAGGCAGCAGUGGGGAAUAUUGCACAAUGGGGGAAACCCUGAUGCAGCAACGCCGCGUGAGUGAAGAAGUAUUUCGAUAUGUAAAGCUCUAUCAGCAGGGAAGAAGAUGACGGUACCUGAGUAAGAAGCCCCGGCUAACUACGUGCCAGCAGCCGCGGUAAUACGUAGGGGGCAAGCGUUAUCCGGAUUUACUGGGUGUAAAGGGAGCGUAGACGGCAGCACAAGUCUGGAGUGAAAUCCCGGGGCUUAACCCCGGAACUGCUUUGGAAACUGUGCGGCUGGAGUGCAGGAGGGGUAAGCGGAAUUCCUAGUGUAGCGGUGAAAUGCGUAGAUAUUAGGAGGAACACCGGUGGCGAAGGCGGCUUACUGGACUGUAACUGACGUUGAGGCUCGAAAGCGUGGGGAGCAAACAGGAUUAGAUACCCGCGUA